This 77-nucleotide small nucleolar RNA is filed under the name Drosophila erecta. Its description in RNAcentral is "snoRNA:GG25995". Lineage: Eukaryota; Metazoa; Arthropoda; Insecta; Diptera; Drosophilidae. The record is from RNAcentral.
GCAACUCCUACCCAUUGGUUGGUCAGAUUUAACCCUAAGACACGACUAAGAUUUAAUGUUGCCAGAGAAAGCAAUGC